RNAcentral lists this small RNA (76 nucleotides) under Pseudomonas sp. HUK17. RNAcentral's name for it is "sX9 sRNA". It matches the Rfam family "Xanthomonas sRNA sX9". The record is from RNAcentral. Lineage: Bacteria; Pseudomonadati; Pseudomonadota; Gammaproteobacteria; Pseudomonadales; Pseudomonadaceae.
AUGUACCCGUCGUACAUUCCGGUUCCUGCGCGCCGCUCGCACCCGCCUGACAACCGCUCGCUACGCUUUGUUGGCU